GGCUGAGUGGACUGGCGGGACGAGAAAAGGGGCGGGGCGUGCCCAAUCCGGGCUGAAGAGCGUUACCAUGGCAAACGUGCCGCGGAGGCCCUGAGAGGCCACCCGCCCUAUGUUGGUCUGCGAGAAAUCAAACUUCGAACAGGACAAGCCCGAAGCCCGCUUCUCCGGGAGACGGGGUGCCACAAUUACGAGGCUACUCCAAAACUUCUAUAAUGAUGGUAGAGUUCAGUGAAGUGGAGCUUCAGGCCUGCCAUCCCCAUGCUCCUGGCAAGCAGCAGCAUCUCCCCUGAGCAUGGUGGCAUAGGGCAUGCCAUUAAAACCACCUUGCUGCUGUUCAUCUCCACAUACUGAGUUGCUGUACACUUUGCAGUGGAAUUCCACCUUGCUGCGUCUGGUUGGCCAGAAGCCCUGCAGAAUACAGACUAUGAAGAUAAAUAGACAUUGAAGAAUCUAAAAUAUAAAGAUAGAGCUGGAAAACAUAGGGAGCAGAUUGGAAGUGAAGGAACUUUCAAGAAGAUGCUAAUACAUCUGUUCAUUCUGAAAUUACUGACAGCAACAAAGGUCAGAAGAUGUUGAAGAAUAUGGGUUGGAAAAAAGGAGAGGGCCUGGGGGAGGAUGGUGGGGAAUGAAAACUCUGAUCCAACUUUGGC
Molecule: long non-coding RNA, 650 nt
Filed under: Pongo abelii (Sumatran orangutan)
Lineage: Eukaryota; Metazoa; Chordata; Mammalia; Primates; Hominidae
Description: lncRNA (ENSPPYG00000030801.1)
Source: RNAcentral